CGUCUUUCGGAGGGUCAUUCGCAAGGCCCUAGGCGACCUCGCUCAUUUGUACGUUGUUAUUUAUUUCGAUAACGUUCUAAUUAUUGCCGACUCGAUAGAUCAAGCUUUAGGAAGAUUGAACACCGUAUUAGAUACCCUCGUAAAAGCAGGAUUCUCUGUUAACUUUGCGAACUGUUCUUUUCUAAAGACAUCGGUGCUCUAUUUGAGAUAUGUAAUUCAUAACGAAGAAGUUCGUCCGAACCCGGGUAAAAUACACACCUCAAGUUCUUUACCUGUGCCAACGGCCGUCACACAGUUCAGGCAAGUUGAGUGGUAAAAGCGAUUCAAAGGAGUACGUCAUUGUUUUGAUCGAUGUGUUCACUAAAUUCGUAUACCUGCGUCGUACUCGUAAGAUAGAUUUCCGUAACACCAUUAAAGCGCUUAAACCCG
Molecule: unclassified non-coding RNA, 429 nt
Filed under: Bombus terrestris (buff-tailed bumblebee)
Lineage: Eukaryota; Metazoa; Arthropoda; Insecta; Hymenoptera; Apidae
Description: misc RNA ENSBTSG00005021463.1
Source: RNAcentral